This is a non-coding RNA of Callithrix jacchus (white-tufted-ear marmoset), 4898 nucleotides long. The record is from RefSeq and is a predicted model, not a curated record. Lineage: Eukaryota; Metazoa; Chordata; Mammalia; Primates; Cebidae.
GGAGUGGGGCAGCCAAGAGCCCUCUGACAGUAGCCCCCUAGAGAGCAAGACAACCCAUCACACUCCUCAGCCUCCUUUUUUCCUGAUUCCCCAGUUAUGAAACAGCUCUGGAUACAAACAAUCUCAGGAAUUUUCCAUGCAUUUGUACAGUCUCCUUGACUGGAUUAGAUUUCCUGUGGGCAAGGACCAUUCAUUCUAUUUUCAGCGAGGCUGCCUAACAUGAUGAGGCAAAUUCUGAAAUGAGGGAAGGAAGCCUGAGAUUUGAGCCCCAGCCCUGCCACUUACUACCUGUAAGCCCAGUGAACUUGACCUGGGAGGAGAGGAGCAACCCCAAGGCAAAUGCAGAUGUCUCUGAAGAGUGAAAAUGAGGAAACAUGUCCAGGGGGUUUUAUUUAUCCCCAUCCCUCCUAAAGGCCCGGGUGGUGUGGGACCCCCUCCGGAGAGGUGUAUGCACCUCCCUAGAGCUUACCCAGCCGGGUGCCUGUUCCUUGAUGAGAAUCCACAUGGUGUUGACCUCAGGCUUCUUCAUGGUUCACUCUGUGGCUGGUGGCAUUGGAUCUGCAUCAAGGUGGUCUCGAGGAUGGUCUUCUGAAGGAACUUAGGUGUCUUGGGUCCUGGAAGAUGGGUGACACACGGAUCUAUUUUUUUCCUAUGGUUAUAGACCCUUUCAGCACAACCUUUGUGGCCUUCAGAGCUUUUGUCUUGGUUUCAGUUUUGGGAAGGGCUGGGGCUUCCUUCUUGCUUUCAGCACCAUAUUUGCAGAAGGGAGUGUCUAUCUGACGGCCUGGUGUAGCAGUGCCAUCAGGAGCUGGUCUUCAGUGGAGAAAAUGUACUGCCAAGGCUGAAGAGACUUCCAUGGAAACAGGAGCAGAAGGGAGAAGGCUUCACGAUACUGUUUCAGACCCUGUUUCCCUGGCCCAGCCCACACCUAAGGCGAUGGAAAGGAGUCUGCAGCAGAAACAGAAGUUGCUGUUUUCCAGGAAGCUCCGUGAGGAGGAGGCAAAAGCAUCCUCAAAGGCAUCACUUCAUAGCAGUGGCCAGCAAGGCCUCGUGCUCCACUGGCUUCGGUUGGUUGACAAUGGAGGGUGGUGUGGGACAGCAUGAGAAGGCACUGCACAAGCUCCUGUGAGACUUCGCAGGGGCCUCCAGAAUAAACUGACGAAAGACUUUGUGAAAAAAAAGGGUCUGGGGAGGCUGCAAGUGCAGGCGGAGCCCCAGCCAGUGAAUCCCAGAUGACUGCAGGGAAUGCGGCUACACUGGUGCCACCAGCUUACGAAACUUGGGCUUGGAGAAUUAAGUAAGUUGCUCAGUGCCCCACCGAAAGUAAGAUCAAGCUGAGAUCACACCCCCUGGAACGUGUGUGCCGAUAGCACCUGUUGACUUCUGGCUCUGGCUGCAGCUGGACGCAGUGAUCAAAUCCAGUGGAAGCCUGUUUGGUCUGGUGUUUUCACUGCUUGUCCAUUGACUGUUCUACAUCCAACACAUCACCUGUGCAGUAGGUAAUAGGAUUUGAUGGUUAAGGUGACUUCAGCUCUGUCAAGCCACAGGCCAUUCGCCCCAUCCCAGAGCACAUGCUGCACAUCAUGGUCCUCAGUGUUGGAACGUGAAUGGGGUGGCCAGGGCUGCUGGAGGCCUGCUCCUCUCCAAGCCUGCAGAGCUCCUCUUGAGGCCUUGGCAACUCUACCUCCAGGCCCUGAUGGGCAGAUCUUGGCACUUUUCCUGGGAAGGUAGGAGCAAGAGAUCAGGGUGGUAAAACCAGCUCAUGAGAAAGGGAACAUAGUCUGCAGUGUCCCAGCUGAGAACCUUCUAACCUGUCCUUUCUGAUAAAUUUAGCUCUAUUCAUCAGUAAAGACCUGAGUCCUCUUUCUUCUGGAAAACUAAUUUCUUUCUUUCUCAACCUACCAGUACACUUGUGUGCUCUACACACUACAAUGGAACUACAAUGACCUUUAGAGCACACAGUCCAACCUCCUGGCUAAUUCUGGAAUUCCUUCUCCAUCUUCCCCACCAUAUUCAUCCUCUGCUUGGUUCCCUAACCUUCAAAGAAGCCCAUUCCUUGAUGAGAUAGCUCUAAGCAUUUGAAAAGCUUUCCUCUUUUUGAGCAAAAAUAUGCAUCUGGACUUUGUUCAUGAGAAGUCUUCAGAUCUUUAAAGAGAACCAUGAGGGCUCCUUGGGGUCUCCCCCUCUCCAAACAAAACCAGAGGAACCUCAAGUAACAUGGUCCCUAGACCUUUCACCGUCCCUAGAAUGGCUUCUUCAUGUCCCUGUAAGUGGUUCCCAGACCUUAAUAUAAACCACAGUUGACUGGGGCGCUUGGUAAAAAUACUGAUUUCAGGGGCCUCAUCCUGGAGGGAGGUGGGGAACGUGUGUGCUUUUUCAGCAAGUGGAGAAAGCAAACUCCAAACACUGUGUUUCUUAGAUGCUGUGCCUUCAGAAGACAGUACCAAAUGGGGCUGUUUGCAGUUGUAUUAGGGAAUGUAUGUUCAAAAGGUUUAAACAACAUCAUUUUAGCAGUAAGUCAUAGAACACUAGGAUGGUCUCCAUUAUCCUUGAAAAAAUGACCAAGGCUCAUUAAAUUCAAAUUUAAGCUAGAAAACAUACAAAUUAACCAACCAUGGUUUUAAAACACUUCUCUUGCUAACAUGUUACAUCUGCUAGGCUGGAGGCUUGGUAUUACCAGAUGAGGCAUGUGCAGAAUCACAGCGAUCUGCCCCACAGCUCAGGCUGAGAUCUAAAUGAAGACCCCUGCAAAGCUACCCAAAGGUCAGGUAGCAUGGCAGGAGACAUCCUGGCCUUCUGGGGAGAAGCAGGUGGCAGGGGGAUUUGGGAGCCCCACCUGGGGCUGCCUGCAUUUAUGUACGGUGUCACAAUUAACCCUCAGAGCAGCACUGAGAGAGUUAUUAUUCCCAUUCUAUAAGGGAGGAAACUGGGGCUCAGUAAGAUUAAGACACUUGAUUACAGAAGGUCUUGCAGUAAACGUUCCAAACACAUGCUCCUUUCCUUCCACCACAAUGCAUUGUUAUUCAUUCUCUUUUUGUUUUAGGUAUGAAAAUCCUAGGUCUCCAGGAAAUUGUGUGAUAAUGAGGCUUAGACCAUGCGUCUGACCCCUCCCACCUCACCCUGUGGGGUACCCACAGGCAGGGUGGGCCAUCCAGUGGCACUCAGGAAAGUGUGCUGAAGUGAAUUGCAUUAGUUCCUAGCACUGUGUGAUUCACCAGGGUGUGUGGAAAGAGAAAGUGAGGAUGAUGCUUUAUGACUCCUCUUGCUGUUUCUGGCUACAAAUACCUGCCCCCUGCCCAGCUGCCCCUGCCUAUUCCUCCCGGCUGUUCAGGGAAGGGUCUCUAAAGAAAGGUACUAGAUAUUGUACCAGCAUUAUUAUAAUUGUUAUUAAAAGCCACUGGUUUUACUGGGGCCCUAUUUUUACUCAGAAAGAGUCUCUCAACCUAGCCCUGGCUUUCGACCUUCAACUCCUUCAUAUCCCAGUGCCCUUUGCUUGUGGAAAUGAGUCAGAUGGUUGAGCUUUUGCACAGGAUUAUGAUCAAACUUUAUGUUAGGAAGCAGGUUUAGCAGUCAGCUCUAUUUUACUUUGUGUGGAGUUUCUUAUCUUGUCUGUGUCCUCAAGUGUCACCACUGUGACCACUCUAGUCGUGCGUUUGCUAUGAUGUGGAGAAGAAAACGGAUGAUAGGAGAGAGUCCAGUGGUUUUGCAUCUGCCUCAGCAGAGCUAGGGCUAGAACCUGCCAUACAACUGUCACCAUGGUCCCAGUGGAGCAACACAGGGCUCAGUAGGGGUGAGCCCAACUUCAGGAAGUUAAGUCUUGCAAUUGAAGGAGGAUGGGCAGGGGUCAGGGGCUCUGAAAACCUAACAGUCUAGAGCAGUGACUCCCAGACCUUAGCAUAAAUCACAGUCGACUGGGGUGCUUGGUAAAAGUACUGAUUUUAGGGGCCUCAUCAUAGAAAUCCUGCCAAUGACAAGAACAUAUGCUGUGUGCUGCUUGCUACACCAAGGAUGAUGCUAAGAGCACCACAAGUACCAACUCACUUGGUCUUCACAACCACCCCCAUUGUUACUCAGCAAGCACUCCUCUUUCCAUCAUUCAUGUGAAGAUACUUGAGGAUACGGAGAGAUACGGCAUGUGAGGAGGCAGAGCCAGGACCCGAAAAGUCCCUGUUCUUCCCUCUCUUCCUGGGCUGGAGGUUUGCGAAGGGCCUGGGAAGCUGCAUCUUCUAAGCUAGUACAGGCAGUCUGGAGAGUCUGGAGAGUCUGUGUGCUGAGGCUGGGGAUGCUCAUCACAGCCCACUUGUCCUGACAUACCAGAGAGGUGUCCGUUUAGUGAUUUAAUCUCCUCUGUACAAUGCCCCAGGGGCCCCAGUCUCCUUGGGAUCCUAAUCUUCUCAGUGACACAGUAGAGGCUGUAGAGAAAAGCAAAUUCACAAGGGUCACGCUGGGUUAGUCUGACGGGCAUCGCUCACACUCGGCACUGUGGGAAGACCACCAUCGUCUUUGUCUGCAUUGGCAAACUUCGGGUAAGCCACGGAGUGCUGAAUUCUACUGGACACUGAGGACACAGAAAGGAUGAGACUGCGUCUUUGCAUUUAUGUGGGGGCAUCAGGGGAUGCUCAGUAAUGAAACCCACUCAAGUGUUUUGUCUCAGGCAGCAGAAACUCUCGGCCUGGCCUGUGAAGUCUAUUCUUUGUCUUUUAACCUCUGUGGUCUCAGCCUCCGACUCCUUGAUUCAUGCCUUGUAUGUUAGUCCGGGUUUUCUCAAAUGUUAGUCUUUUGGAUAUCAUCUUAAAGAGACUUUCUAUGAUAUGAGUACCACCUGCACAAUUAUUAACUGAAUAUGUUUAAAACUGACUUAUGCUUUUUGACUUAAAAUUAAUUAUUUUAAAAGGAAA